Molecule: ribosomal RNA, 520 nt
Filed under: uncultured Acidobacteriota bacterium
Lineage: Bacteria; Pseudomonadati; Acidobacteriota
Description: bacterial SSU rRNA
Rfam family: Bacterial small subunit ribosomal RNA
Source: RNAcentral
CGACGCAGCGACGCCGCGUGCGGGAAGAAGGCCUUCGGGUUGUAAACCGCUUUCAGGAGGGACGAAGCCACUCGGGUUAAUAGCCUAGAGGGUGACGGUACCUCCAGAAGAAGCCCCGGCUAACUACGUGCCAGCAGCCGCGGUAAUACGGGGGGGGCAAGCGUUGUUCGGAAUUACUGGGCGUAAAGGGCUCGUAGGCUGCCAACUAAGUCAGACGUGAAAUCCCCAGGCUCAACCUGGGAACUGCGUCUGAUACUGGAUGGCUUGAAUUCGGGAGAGGGAUGCAGAAUUCCAGGUGUAGCGGUGAAAUGCGUAGAUAUCUGGAGGAAUACCGGUGGCGAAGGCGGCAUCCUGGACCGACAUUGACGCUGAGGAGCGAAAGCUAGGGGAGCAAACGGGAUUAGAUACCCCGGUAGUCCUAGCCCUAAACGAUGAAUGCUUGGUGUAACGGGUAUCGAUCCCUGUUGUGCCGAAGCUAACGCAUUAAGCAUUCCGCCUGGGGAGUACGGUCGCAAGGCUG